RNAcentral lists this long non-coding RNA (1198 nucleotides) under Mytilus galloprovincialis (Mediterranean mussel). The record is from RNAcentral. Lineage: Eukaryota; Metazoa; Mollusca; Bivalvia; Mytilida; Mytilidae.
AGCCUCCAUCACAAUAAUCUUUUUGUAUUACAUCUUUUUUCACUCUAUGAACUGGUGAGUUCCAAAUAAACUUAUACAUCAGUUCAUUUAUCUGUUUAAUAAUAUCUUCACUUGGAUUAGGUAGUGACAAUAUUAAAUGAUUUAAAAUUGGCAACAUAAGUGUCUUUACAACAGUAAUUCGACCAAUAACAGUAAUGUUACGUCUAGACAUUGUUUGACUAGUCUUUUUAUUUUUACAAUAUUUUCAUCAUAAUUGAUUUUAACUAGUUUUUCUAAAUCAACAUCAAAAUUAACACCCAAUAAUUUAAAGGAUGUGCUUCCCCAAGUAAGAUUUUGAUUUGUACAAAGUGUCUCUGUGCUGUACUUUUUACUUCCAAUCCAAAUGACAUGAGUUUUGGAAAAAUUUAUAUUCAAACCAGAAAUUUUAGCAAACCAAUCUAGUUCCAAUAAUGACUCAUUUAAAGAUUCUUCACUACCAUCUAAAAGUAGUGAUGUAUCAUCAGCAAACUGCGAGAGUUUGUGUUCAACAUCAAGAACUUUGAUUCCAUUUAUAUUUUUGUUAUCUCUUAUUUUUAACGCUAAAAUUUCAGCACAAAGAAUGAAAAGAUAAGGCGAUAAUGGAUCACCUUGCCUACAACCCCGUUCAACAGUGAAAAAGUCUGAAAGAUUCCCUCCCUGAAUGACUGCUGAAUUAAUGUUUUGAUAGAGCACUUUCACCCAAUUUAUAAUAGAAUCGCCAAAAUUAAAAAAUUUCAAUACAUUUAAAAGAAAUUCCCAUGAAAUGGAAUCAAAGGCUUUUUCAAAAUCUAUCAGCAAUAAAAGGCCUGGUAUAUCAUUAUCUUCAGUAUAUUCCAUGAUAUCAUAGAUCAAUCUUAGAUUUUCCCCAAUAUAUCUUCCACUCAUAAAACCUGUCUGAUCAGUAUCAAUAAGUUUAGUCAAAACUGUUCUAAAUCUUCCUGCUAUAACCCCAGAGCCAAUUUUAUAUACAGUAUUAAGCAAAGAUAUAGGGCGCCAGUUUUUUAAAAAAUGUCUAGGUUUGUUACCCUUUGGAAGACAUGUAAUUAUCCCCUGUUUUUGAGUAACAGAAAGUUCCCCUUUAUCAUACCCUGCAUUCAAGGAUCUUACAACAAAAUGUUUUAAGUCAGGCCAGAAAAAUUUAAAAAAUUCACUUGAAAAACCAUCUGAUCCAGGCGUUUUA